CCCUUAGAUGUUCGGGGCCGCACGCGCGCUACACUGAAGGACUCAGCGUGUCUCUCCCCCUAUCCCGAAAGGGAUGGGCAACCCGUUGAACCUCCUUCGUGCUAGGGAUUGGGGUUUGCAAUUAUCCCCCAUGAACGGGGAAUUCCCAGUAAGCGCGAGUCAUCAGCUCGCGUUGAUUACGUCCCUGCCCUUUGUACACACCGCCCGUCGCUACUACCGAUUGGAUGGUUUAGUGAGACCCUCGGAUCGGUCCCGACUCGGGGUGGGCUUCUGCCCCGGUCGUGGUUUCGCCGAGAAGACGGUCAAGCUUGACUAUCUAGAGGAAGUAAAAGUCGUAACA
Molecule: ribosomal RNA, 340 nt
Filed under: uncultured eukaryote
Lineage: Eukaryota
Description: partial 18S ribosomal RNA
Rfam family: Eukaryotic small subunit ribosomal RNA
Source: RNAcentral